CGGUCACCUCCAGCCCUAGCGCCAUCUGCUCUGUACCCCCACCGCUAACCUCCUCAGCUCUGGCCUGCCCGCGCUCCUCCUCGUUGCCUGGAUCCGGCAGCCCCUCCAUGCUCAUCCGCCCCUUUCCCGCUCUCUCCUCGACCGGCUCGCUCCCGCUUGCAACCACCCACACCCUGUUCUGCUCCAGAGACAGUCCUGGCGGCGCUGAAGGAGGAGACGCAGCAGCGGAUGGAUGACGCAUCGAUUGGAGGUCAUUGGUGGCCACUCACGCCUCCUCAGACCUCACCCUCACUUCGUCGUCAGCGCAGGUUUGGCCAACGGCCCCCGACCGGAUCGCAGGUCCUCCUCACGGUGAGGCACAGCCCACAGAGUCGAGCCGGACAUCACAACCAUGACCAUGAGGCAUCGUCGCAGCAGUCGGAGUCAUUUUUGCUGCCCCCUCCCGACACCUGUAAAUUUUGUAUGCCUUCACGCCGUGAAGCCACAUUUGCGGCCAUUGGCAAUGGCUGUAUCCACUGUUUCGAUCCAUAUAUUUGGUGAUGUCCCUUCUUCACCUCUUGUUGGGCUGCUUCAGGACAAAAUCAAUAACUGGAGGGAGACAUCUCUUAUAUUGACAUCCAUCCUUUUCGCUGCAGUUGUGUUCUGGUUCAUUGGUGUGUCUGAGGCUGCACAAGAUGCUCUUGAUCAUCUUUUCAACCAAGGCCACAAUCUCGUAACAGAAAAUGAGAUUUCUGAUACCUUUACUAGGCUGGUUGAAAGGCUACCACAAGUGGUACUUGGAAGCGAGGAGACAACCACACUUUCACAUGCUAGGAUGUUGUUGGCUCUGACCUUUUAUGCUGGUCCCUAGUUUCUGAUAAAUCAUCUUCACUGUUCUCCUGUAUUGCUGCUCGUUUCUUUGAUUGUUUGGGUUUAUGCAUAGGUCAUAGCUCACAGUUUUCUGGUUCCAUGGACAAGCUAAUUGUAUCAAAGCCACUAUCUAUCGGGUAUCUUUAUUCAGUUGCUGAGUUGAAGAGUGGCGCCUAUUCUAAAGAUACAACUAACAUAUCUCUGCAUGCCACGUCAACAUUUGCAGCCUCCAAAAUAUCUGUUAUCCAUGAUAAUGCUUUGCCAAAUUCAUUACUUGGUACAGUUGAAUAUGAGUUGCCCCAUGUGCCUCCAUGGUUUAUUCAUGCUGGUAUCCAGAAGCUUUAUGGGGUUCUUGCUGGAAUAAUUAGACUUGUUGGCCUAUCAACAGUGUCAGGAACCGGGCCAUGUUGAUGUUCAAAAGAGUUGUCAGAAGUUCAUGACAUCUGGUAUUUAUUAUAUCUUCUUUUGUAGUGGGCUGGUGUGGUCUGCUUAGCAGCAGGUAGCACUACAACCAGCAAUGUAUGGAUGAAUUGAAGGUAGUAAAGAACGCAUGCAAUCUUAUAGAAACUCUACAUCUUGAAACUGGCAUGAUUGACAAAGAAGCUGGAUGCAUCCUUUGGAUUGGUGUCUUCUUAUCAUCAAGCAGUAAUGUGAAGCAAGUUCAUUUGUUGACUAAGAACAGAUGAGCACAAAUCAGUGAAGAGUUCAUUGCACUAGAGAUGGAGGAUGGAUAGGUGGUAGAUUUCAAUAUGGCUUUGAUACUAUUGUUUCUCUUUACAAUCUUUGUACAUAACAAGAAAAAUGACGUUGUAUGUGGAUACUAUUGUAAUUCAAGAAUUUAUUUCUGAAUAAUAAAUAUAUUUGUUUAU
Molecule: RNA transcript, 1718 nt
Organism: Zea mays
Lineage: Eukaryota; Viridiplantae; Streptophyta; Magnoliopsida; Poales; Poaceae
Gene name: protein-like pseudogene
Exons: 9
Source: RefSeq, marked validated